This 1049-nucleotide long non-coding RNA is filed under the name Homo sapiens (human). RNAcentral's name for it is "long intergenic non-protein coding RNA 2840". Lineage: Eukaryota; Metazoa; Chordata; Mammalia; Primates; Hominidae. The record is from RNAcentral.
GAGUAGCUGGGACUAUAGGCACCCGCCACCACGCCCGGCUAAUUUUUUGUAUUCACAGUACAGACGGGGUUUCACCGUGUUAGCCAGGAUGGUUUCGAUCUCCUGACCUCGUGAUCCGCCCGCCUCUGCCUCCCAAAGUGCUGGGAUUACAGGCGUGAGCCACCGCGCCCGGUGGAAAGGACACUUUUUUACAGUAUGAGCACUGAAACAAAAAGGCAAAGCAAGGUCUGUUCACCUUCAGCUGAGAACGUGAGGAUUGGUUCAGGAGUACAUGCGCAGGUUUGUCAUAUAAGCAAAUUAUGUGGCACAGAAGUUUGGUGUAUGGAUUAUUUCAUCACCCAGGCCGUUUCUCAGCGUUGGAUGUGCAAGCAGUUUUGAGAGAUGAAGUCAUGACUUCAAGACAAAAAAACAGGUUUGCUUAUUUUGCUACAAACCAAUAAGUUCUUCAGCCAUGCUGCAAAUCCACUGUGUAUCCAGUUCCCAUCUGCGGCCCGCACAUCAUCCCCAUGGGACUUGAGAGCAAGAGGAUCCCACGCAAAUCAUGUUGCUUGCUAUGCUAACUGGUUCCUAAGAGAGCAGAAAAUCAGCUAUAUGAAACCACGGCUAAAGAGAUAAAUGGCCUCAGUACUCAAAUUUGUAUACCACGCUUAUCUGCAACUGCAGAUCACCUGAACGAUAGUGAAUCAACUGAUUGGGAAGAAUUCAUCUAAUGUAAACUAUGUGGUCAACGAUCUAAGGGAUUAUUUGUGAAGAAGAAAAUCUGGGUUCCAAUUUAUACUCUGUUCUAGCUGAUGGUAGAACCUAAGGAAUGGUCCAUUUCCCCUAGUAAAUUCUCUUGUAUCACUAUAGAUGCUUUCCGAAAAUGCUGAUCACAAUUUAAAAUUUUACCUCUUAAGUGUCUAUUUGAUUAGUGGCUGAAUCCCUCCUUCAGACUGAAGUCCAUGAGAACAGAAACUCUGUUAUUUUUUGGUCUGCAUUGUAUACACGGCAUUCAACACAGUACCAGCCACAAUGUGAAUGCUCACUUACCAAAUACAUGAUUGAAUGAA